Molecule: RNA transcript, 660 nt
Organism: Nelumbo nucifera (sacred lotus)
Lineage: Eukaryota; Viridiplantae; Streptophyta; Magnoliopsida; Proteales; Nelumbonaceae
Gene name: pentatricopeptide repeat-containing protein At3g58590-like
Source: RefSeq, a predicted model, not a curated record
CAGAUGGUUUCUCCCAAAAAAAAGCCCUAGUUUUUUUAGCGGGAAACGGCGAGCGAGACCCCUAUGAAUUCAUCACAGAUUUCAUCGUGUCUCCUUCUUCCCUCGUCGAUUAACCGCCGUACCAACUGUUCUUCGAAUUAAUCGUUUUCAAGGAACAAGGACAUGGGAUGAGGCGAUGAAAUUUUCAACGGGAGAAGCUUUCAUUGGAUGCUCUGGAAAAACUAACCGAACUUUAAGGACCUGCAAGAAUUGCAAAUCCCAGUUCGACCCGUUGGUCAGUCCCCCCGAUCCUGUCGAUUCCACACCGCUCAUUUUGGUGGAAUGACGUUGGAAUGGAAGCUUGGGGGCAGCUCAAUAUACAUAUGGCAGUCUCUUGUCCUUGUCUACAUUGAAUUGAAUCCUCACUAGGGAUUACAGUUGCAGCUACUAAUUUUAUUGGCUGGAUUAAUUUGUGCUGACACUUCCCUUGGGAUGGCAUUGUUGGGUCUAUUUGGGAAGCAUGGAAACUCAAACGAAGUAUUUAAAUUGUUCCAAGAAAUGCAUUGUAUUAACUUAGAAUUGCUUAGUAUCUGCACUCAGUCAAUGCGGGUAUGCAGAAUAUUCAAUGAUUUUGUUUUGCGAAUUACUGAGAAUUUAUAAAUCAGAAUAUUCAUUUAUUGA